AUUUCCGUAGGUGAACCUGCGGAAGGAUCAUUAAAGAAUCGGUGACCCUCGUGGUCCCCAUUCUCACCCUUUGUAUACCAAACUUCAGUUGCUUUGGCUGGCCUUCGCGGGCCGGCCAGAGGACUCAAACCCUUGAAUCUUUGCUGUCUGAGUACUAUAUAAUAGUUAAAACUUUCAACAACGGAUCUCUUGGUUCUGGCAUCGAUGAAGAACGCAGCGAAAUGCGAUAAGUAAUGUGAAUUGCAGAAUUCAGUGAAUCAUCGAAUCUUUGAACGCACAUUGCGCCCUCUGGUAUUCCGGGGGGCAUGCCUGUUCGAGCGUCAUUACAACCCUCAAGCUCAGCUUGGUAUUGGGCUCGCCCUUUAUGGGCCUGCCUCAAAAUCAGUGGCGGCUCCGUCCAGUCUCAAGCGCAGUAAUACUCGUCGCUUGUUAGGCUUGAUCGGCGGUUUGCCAGCAACCCCCAAUUUUACAAGGUUGACCUCGGAUCAGGUAGGGAUACCCGCUGAACUUAAGCAUAUCAAUAAGCGGAGGA
This 532-nucleotide ribosomal RNA is filed under the name uncultured Coccomyces. RNAcentral's name for it is "eukaryotic LSU rRNA". The stretch from base 170 to 323 matches the Rfam family "5.8S ribosomal RNA". Lineage: Eukaryota; Fungi; Ascomycota; Leotiomycetes; Rhytismatales; Rhytismataceae. The record is from RNAcentral.